This 489-nucleotide ribosomal RNA is filed under the name uncultured bacterium. RNAcentral's name for it is "bacterial SSU rRNA". It matches the Rfam family "Bacterial small subunit ribosomal RNA", at positions 1 to 525 of the family's 1533-position model. The record is from RNAcentral.
UCACACAGGGAAACUUAGAGUUUGAUCAUGGCUCAGAGCGAACGCUGGCGGCAGGCUUAACACAUGCAAGUCGAGCGGGCGUAGCAAUACGUCAGCGGCAGACGGGUGAGUAACGCGUGGGAACGUACCUUUUGGUUCGGAACAACACAGGGAAACUUGUGCUAAUACCGGAUAAGCCCUUACGGGGAAAGAUUUAUCGCCGAAAGAUCGGCCCGCGUCUGAUUAGCUAGUUGGUGAGGUAACGGCUCACCAAGGCGACGAUCAGUAGCUGGUCUGAGAGGAUGAUCAGCCACAUUGGGACUGAGACACGGCCCAAACUCCUACGGGAGGCAGCAGUGGGGAAUAUUGGACGAUGGGCGCAAGCCUGAUCCAGCCAUGCCGCGUGAGUGAUGAAGGCCCUAGGGUUGUAAAGCUCUUUUGUGCGGGAAGAUAAUGACGGUACCGCAAGAAUAAGCCCCGGCUAACUUCGUGCCAGCAGCCGCGGUACGC